AUACGGAGGGUCCGAGCGUUAUCCGGAAUCAUUGGGUUUAAAGGGUCCGUAGGCGGGAAUCUAAGUCAGUGGUGAAAUCUUGCAGCUCAACUGUAAAAUUGCCAUUGAUACUGGAUUUCUUGAAUUAGUGUGAAGUGGCUAGAAUGUGUAGUGUAGCGGUGAAAUGCAUAGAUAUUACACAGAAUACCAAUUGCGAAGGCAGAUCACUAACACUAUAUUGACGCUAAGGGACGAAAGCGUGGGGAGCGAACAGGAUUAGAUACCCGUGUAGUCC
Molecule: ribosomal RNA, 274 nt
Filed under: uncultured bacterium
Lineage: Bacteria
Description: partial 16S ribosomal RNA
Rfam family: Bacterial small subunit ribosomal RNA
Source: RNAcentral